Molecule: non-coding RNA, 1771 nt
Organism: Benincasa hispida (wax gourd)
Lineage: Eukaryota; Viridiplantae; Streptophyta; Magnoliopsida; Cucurbitales; Cucurbitaceae
Source: RefSeq, a predicted model, not a curated record
UCGAGAGUCAACACUCAAGAGCAAGUCAUAAGUCAAUAGAGAUGACCGGAGAAGGGAGGAUUUUACGCCGUCGUUGUAUCAACGUCGACGAUUCAGGCAGCUAAUGCGAACCCUUUGCAAUGUCUGUGAGAGCGCCGCUGCAACCCUCUUCUGCGCCGCCGCCGAGGCCGCCCUUUGCCGCUCCUGCGAUCAGGAGGAACUGCACACAGAAGUACUUCUUGGGUAUAAUCAAGAACCUGAUGGUGUGUGAUGCUUGCAAGAUCCUUCAAACAAGAACCUGAAAAGUAAUACAAAAUGACUCAUUUUCAAAAUUACACAUCUGCUUACCAGAACAAGAACCUGAAUAGUUAUCAAACACUUCAUUUUUUUUUUUUUCCAAAAUGACUCAUUUUCAAAAUUAAACACUUGAAAAGUUAAACCAAGCACACCCUAAUUCAAAGAUAAAUUAAUUUGACUUAUAUGGUGGGAAGUCUUGUCUUGGAGAUUACUUUCAAAACAGCUUUUUUCUCUCUGUUUUAAGAACUAUGGUUGGAUUGCUGGUAUAGUUUAAGAUUAUUAUUUCAAACUAGAUGUGUGAAAUAAUAAACAGAGCUUCUCUUUCCUACAAAUUUGUGGCUACAGAUGUUCUUGUUUAAAUUUCUCACAUAUCUCUUUUCAAGUAACACCAAAAUUUGUGGCUACUGAUGUUCUUGUUUGAAAUAUUUUCCUAUUUGAGCCUUUUUCGCCUUGGAAACGGGUCAACUUCAGCUUAUUUCAUUUGCUCGGAGGGACUUAAAGAGGACUAAGCUCAAUGAUUCAGAAUCUUUUAUUAGAGGUCAGGAGGUCCCAUCUUCCAGUGGAGCUACAGAUAAGCAUACGAGCAACGGAUACAAAUUGAAGAAAGAAGUUGAAUGGCAAGAAAGUAUUUGAAGGUGCAAGCUGAGAUUGUAGCUUAGAAAGCAGAGCCAAGAGUGAUCAAAUCAAGUAGGAGCCAAAUUUUUUCUGACCUCGAGGAAAUGGCCAUUUCUCAGGCAAGUGCGUGGUUCCAUAUCAUGCAGUAGUCUCUUUCACUGUAGAUAAUAUAUUACAGCUUUGAAAUUUAACGUUUUGAACUGUUGAUGCGGAAUGAUAGGGAUAUUUUUGUUACGUUCUUAUCUUAAUGCAUGAAUCACAAAACUUAUCGAACUUUCUUUUAGGAUGUUUGGCCCAAAGAAUUGGAGUUGGAGGAUUGGAGUUAAUAAUUCUCCUUGUUUGGCCCAAGGAGUUCCAGAACCCUACGUCUAAAAAAAGAGCACUUCAUAAAAUUUAUUCCACUCCUUGCCUCAUUUUUAAUUUCAAUUAAGGCUUUUACAAAACUAAUGACUCUUCAUAAAAUUUAUUCCCAUCAAAUAGAUAGAGUUUUCUCGAAUUCUAUGGUCCAUGUAUUUCUAUUUAUCUUGUACAACUCUAGUUUUCUUCAUGCAUGUAUCAUUCCAUGAUUAUUCUUGAAUUACAAGGUUCACUGUUCUUGAUCUGAAAUACUUUUGGAUUAGGUCUUGAAUAAUUUGUAACAUGAUAUUAAGAAAUUCUCAAUCUCUAGACAAUUAUUCCUCGAAAGAAAGCCUUAUUAUAUAUGCUCAUGAUUAAUGCAAAUUCAAGCAUCUUACAUAGGAUUGAGAAGAGCACAAACUAAACUAAAAUCAUCAACAAAAUGUUCAUUAAGCUGCUAAGAAUACACAAAAAUAGUUUUUUUUUUGUUCUUUUUAAAUUGCUAUAAAGCAUCAUCAUCAUAAACAUAACAAACAGAGCAAUU